RNAcentral lists this ribosomal RNA (403 nucleotides) under uncultured Wolinella sp. RNAcentral describes it as "bacterial SSU rRNA". It matches the Rfam family "Bacterial small subunit ribosomal RNA", at positions 356 to 774 of the family's 1533-position model. Lineage: Bacteria; Pseudomonadati; Campylobacterota; Epsilonproteobacteria; Campylobacterales; Helicobacteraceae. The record is from RNAcentral.
GGGGAAUAUUGCGCAAUGGGGGAAACCCUGACGCAGCAAUACCGCGUGAGUGAAGAAGGUUUUCGGAUCGUAAAGCUCUGUUAUUGGGGAAGAAAAAAAGACGGUACCCAAGAAGAAAGUCCCGGCUAACUACGUGCCAGCAGCCGCGGUAAUACGGAGGGUGCAAGCGUUACUCGGAAUCACUGGGCGUAAAGAGCACGUAGGCGGCCUUGCAAGUCAGAUGUGAAAUCCAACGGCUUAACCGUUGAACUGCAUUUGAAACUGCAAGGCUAGAGUAUGGGAGAGGUAGGUGGAAUUCUCGGUGUAGGGGUAAAAUCCGUAGAGAUCGAGAGGAAUACUCAUUGCGAAGGCGACCUGCUGGAACAUUACUGACGCUGAGGUGCGAAAGCGUGGGGAGCAAACA